RNAcentral lists this long non-coding RNA (1591 nucleotides) under Citrus x clementina. Its description in RNAcentral is "Citrus clementina (C. clementina) long non-coding RNA (CCLE_LNC002306)". The record is from RNAcentral. Lineage: Eukaryota; Viridiplantae; Streptophyta; Magnoliopsida; Sapindales; Rutaceae.
UUAACUUUAACUUAAAAACAAAUUUAACCCAACUCUCACAUUCACACGCGCUUACAACACUUUACCAGCAGCCACAUCCCACAAACCCCUAACACCCAAAUACCCCCAAUUCCGUAGGAUGUCGCCGUCUGCCUCACGGCCUGGCCUAAGCCUCGUGUCCAAGCCUCGAUCUAAGUCGGUCUAUGUCGUUGCGCGCUGAACGCCUCGAUCUGAGUCGGUCGCUGCCGCUGCACGCUGCACGCCUCGAUCUGAGUAAGUUGCUGCCGCUACACGCUCGAUCUGAGUCAGUUGCUGUCGAAUCCUCGCCAUCGAAGAAGCCUCUUGCUGUCGAAUCCUCGCCAUCGGAGAAGCCUCGUCUAAGCACUUUAAUUAAAAUGGUAUUGGCAAGCCUUGUUGAAUCCUUUGGCCUUUGUUGAUUCAAUUUAGUUUAAUUUUGAAUAAAUUUCUUUGCUGAUUCGUUUCAUCACUUUAAUUAAAUGCAUUAAUUUUCAAUAUAAUGUAAAUGUUUAAUAGGUUUUGGGAUUAAGUUUUAAUUUGGAAAAUUGUUGAAUUUUUAAAUUAAAAAUUUAAAUCAAAUCUUGGUGAAACCUGUUGUCAUAUGCUGAUACGUCACUGUACAGUAAAAUUUGUUUAUUCAAAAUUUAAAUUAUGAGUUCGAAUUUGAUGCAGAAUGGGCAACCAGCCUACUGCAAACAAAUCUUCUGGAACAGUUCAGAUGAAGGGACAGCCAAUCCAGCAAAACAGCAACUGUUGUGGUUAGCAGAUCAUGUUAUUUUACUACUACAUGUUAACUAUGUUGACUGCAUUAUCUUAUGAAUCUUUUAAUCUGUCAAAUAUUUAUUUCCUGCUUUAAGUUUUUUCCCGUUUAUAACAAAUUUAAUUUCUUGCUCCAUUGCAUUCCAAAUUCCUGUCAAUUUACGAGGGAAAAAGAAAAGAGAGACGAAAUGGGAGAAAAUGGUCAAAUUUGUUAGGGGGGAGAGAGCUGUUCAAGUAGUUUUUGUUCUCGUUUAUUGUCGUGACCCUCUUGUCGCUUCUCUAUGACCUGGAAGUCCGGUCAUAUCGGAUGGGUAAAGUUACCAAAACGGCAUAAUUUUGGGUGAAAUAUCAUAUUUAUGUAACACUUUUGAUAAUAUUUUUAUGCAACAAAAAAAUGUUCGCUGUACCCUUUUCACAUUGUGAAGCGCAUGAUCGGAUGAGAGCAGUCUGGAUUCUGGCAUCACAAGCGAAUGCUUUGAUUUGCUUAGUUUGUUUUUUGUUUCUGAUAUUUUCUUGGCAUUGGGUGGGAUAUUGUUUCUCUUUUGAGUUUCCCUUUUUUUUUUAUUAUUAUGGAAUUUGGAGAUAGUGUACAUGUAUGAAGAAGACGUAAUCAAGUUGUUUUGAUAAAUUCCCCUGGUCGGUUUACUUCACUAACCAUUAAUGCGCAAAACCUCCUAAUGACCCUAAAAAAUCCCGUACAUAAUUAAAGAAUUUCAAUUUAAUAUGUACAAAAAUAAAUAACUCUCAAAUAUAUUAUUUGAUAAUUCUAAAAACAACAAUUCGCUCUAAUAAAUCUCGUAGGAAAUAUAUAGUCUAUAUUGUAAGUCUUUUCGAG